RNAcentral lists this ribosomal RNA (253 nucleotides) under uncultured bacterium. RNAcentral's name for it is "partial 16S ribosomal RNA". It matches the Rfam family "Bacterial small subunit ribosomal RNA", at positions 524 to 776 of the family's 1533-position model. The record is from RNAcentral.
UACGUAGGGGGCAAGCGUUGUCCGGAUUUAUUGGGCGUAAAGCGCGUGUAGGCGGCCAGAUAGGUCCGCUGUGAAAACUCGAGGCUUAACCUCGAGGUGUCGGCGGAAACCAUCCGGCUAGAGUCCGGAAGAGGAGAGUGGAAUUCCCGGUGUAGCGGUGAAAUGCGCAGAUAUCGGGAAGAACACCCGUGGCGUAGGCAGCUCGCUGGGACGGUACUGACGCUGAGACGCGAAAGCGUGGGGAGCAAACAGG